GGCGGCGUGCUUAACACAUGCAAGUCGAACGGUGACCCAGGGCUUGCCCUGGUGAUCAGUGGCGAACGGGUGAGUAACACGUGGGCAACCUGCCCCUGACUUCGGGAUAACUCCUCGAAAGAGGAGCUAAUACCGGAUACGACCACUUCGGACAUCCGAUGGUGGUGGAAAGUUUUCGGUCAGGGAUGGGCCCGCGGCCUAUCAGCUAGUUGGUGGGGUAAUGGCCUACCAAGGCGACGACGGGUAGCCGGCCUGAGAGGGCGACCGGCCACACUGGGACUGAGACACGGCCCAGACUCCUACGGGAGGCAGCAGUGGGGAAUAUUGCGCAAUGGGCGAAAGCCUGACGCAGCGACGCCGCGUGAGGGAUGAAGGCCUUCGGGUUGUAAACCUCUUUCAGCAGGGACGAAGCGAAAGUGACGGUACCUGCAGAAGAAGCACCGGCUAACUACGUG
RNAcentral lists this ribosomal RNA (455 nucleotides) under uncultured bacterium. RNAcentral describes it as "bacterial SSU rRNA". It matches the Rfam family "Bacterial small subunit ribosomal RNA", at positions 38 to 507 of the family's 1533-position model. The record is from RNAcentral.